This 22-nucleotide non-coding RNA is filed under the name Rattus norvegicus (Norway rat). The record is from RNAcentral. Lineage: Eukaryota; Metazoa; Chordata; Mammalia; Rodentia; Muridae.
UAAGAGGAAUGCCGAAAGUUGA